GACGAACGCUGGCGGCGUGCCUAAUACAUGCAAGUCGAGCGAAUCUUGAGGUGCUUGCACCUCUUGGUUAGCGGCGGACGGGUGAGUAACACGUGGGCAACCUGCCUGUAAGACUGGGAUAACUUCGGGAAACCGGAGCUAAUACCGGAUAAUCCUUUUCCUUUCAUGAGGAAACGCUGAAAGUAGGUUUUUCGCUGACACUUACAGAUGGGCCCGCGGCGCAUUAGCUAGUUGGUGAGGUAACGGCUCACCAAGGCGACGAUGCGUAGCCGACCUGAGAGGGUGAUCGGCCACACUGGGACUGAGACACGGCCCAGACUCCUACGGGAGGCAGCAGUAGGGAAUCUUCCGCAAUGGACGAAAGUCUGACGGAGCAACGCCGCGUGAGCGAUGAAGGCCUUCGGGUCGUAAAGCUCUGUUGUUAGGGAAGAACAAGUAUCGGAGUAACUGCCGGUACCUUGACGGUACCUAACCAGAAAGCCACGGCUAACUACGUGCCAGCAGCCGCCGUAA
RNAcentral lists this ribosomal RNA (513 nucleotides) under uncultured bacterium. Its description in RNAcentral is "partial 16S ribosomal RNA". It matches the Rfam family "Bacterial small subunit ribosomal RNA", at positions 28 to 523 of the family's 1533-position model. The record is from RNAcentral.